AGCAGCCGCGGUAAUUCCAGCUCCAAUAGCGUAUAUUAAAGUUGUUGCAGUUAAAAGCUCGUAGUUGAAUUUCGGGAUCAGUACGCUGGUCAUGCCUUUGGUAUGCACUGGUGUCACUGGUUUCUCCCUUCUGAAGAUCCGUGAUGUCAUUAAUUUGGUAGUCGCGGGGAAUCAGGACUGUUACUUUGAAAAAAAUUAGAGUGUUUAAAGCAGGCUCACGCUUGAAUACAUUAGCAUGGAAUAAUGAAAUAGGACGUUUGACCCUAUUUUGUUGGUUUCUAGGAUCGACGUAAUGAUUAAUAGGGAUAGUUGGGGGCAUUAGUAUUCAAUUGUCAGAGGUGAAAUUCUUGGAUUAUUGAAGACUAACUACUGCAGAAAGCAUUUGCCAAGGAUGUUUUCAUUAAUCAAGAACGAAAGUUAGGGGAUCGAAGACGAUCAGAUACCGUCG
RNAcentral lists this unclassified non-coding RNA (448 nucleotides) under uncultured Glomus. RNAcentral's name for it is "SSU rRNA". It matches the Rfam family "Eukaryotic small subunit ribosomal RNA", at positions 569 to 1020 of the family's 1831-position model. Lineage: Eukaryota; Fungi; Glomeromycota; Glomeromycetes; Glomerales; Glomeraceae. The record is from RNAcentral.